Molecule: RNA transcript, 3429 nt
Organism: Triticum aestivum (bread wheat)
Lineage: Eukaryota; Viridiplantae; Streptophyta; Magnoliopsida; Poales; Poaceae
Exons: 16
Source: RefSeq, a predicted model, not a curated record
CGCCGCUUUUCUUUUCUCACCAGCCCCAUACCCAACACCUAGGCGUAAUGAAUGCUCACUUCCAGUUGUAAAUAGUGAAGGUUGCUCUCUCUCAUCAAGGGGGGAGGGGGAUUCUCCAUUUUCAUCGUCCGUCAAGAGCUGGGCUGAAUAGUUCGAUCCAGAAGAGACCUCAACUGGCUGUAUCAACGCUUAGAUCUGCAGUUUUGGUUAGCAGGCGUGUACGCGAGCUUGGCGGAUGGAGGAAGAGGACGAAAACCAAGGGUGGGGAGGGGGAAGGCAUGAGCAAAUAGGGGUUACAGUUGAUGUUGUUGAGAGGUCAGGAGAUGAUGUGGAGGAUCAGACAGGGCUAACCUCGCGGCUGUCAGUUAAGCAUGUCGUCGAGGUCAUCACAAAAUUCGAUGAGUACAAAAGAUGGCUUGUGUCUGAGAUUGGUUUUGAGGGUAUGCUUAAACUCCCACUGUUGGGGAAGAUGGAUCUAAAGAUGAGUGCGUGGAUUAUGCGGAAGGUGAAGGUGAAGGUGCGUGCAAUAGUUGUUGAUGAACAUAGGGUGAUUCCUUUUGUGCCAGAGGAUUUUCACAAAGUAUUUGGCAUUCCGUGCGGCAACCGCGCUGUUCGUGGAAGGGAUGGCAAAAUAAAGAGUGCAGCAGUAGAGUUCAUGAAGCAGACAAUUGGGAUGGAUGCAUCUCCUGCUCAGAAUCUCAAGAUGGCAGAAGAUUUUCUUAGUAGGGAUAUAUCAGAUGAAUCAAGCAAGAUUGAGAAGGACUGUUUCCAGAUUUCAUUUGUUAUAUUUGUGAUGGGUUAUGUCUUGUCCCCGGGCACAAAGUAUGAGCACAUGACCAUUGAUUUUUGGGGGGCUCUCGCCAAUCCUGAGCUGAUUUCCCAAUUUAAUUGGUGCGAGUAUGCUGUUGAUAAUCUCAUGGCAGCUGUGAUGAAGUUGCAGAGGGAAUAUCACAACAAGGCGCAAGUGGUUCAUCUUUCUGGAUGCCAUUUGUUCUUCCAGAUUUUCUUGCUAGACAACAUUGAUCUUGGGAUUUUCAACAUGAUACACUCUGUAUUUCCGAGAAUUCAGAGUUUUGACUACAAAAUGCUUCGGCAGAUGAUUACGAUGGCGCGCUGCGAGCAGCGAGGGAGCAUAACAUACGUCCCUGGAGCAAUUCGCCCACCAGAUUCUGUAUGCUAUGUGCCUGUAAGUGUGACGAGCGCAAUGUGGACGGACGGUAUGUCACUUCCAUCUUCGUCCAAACAACCAUCAUCAAGGAUGUCUGUCACACGCAAAUGUCGGACAUCAAAGGUUUGUUUAGAUGCAAAGACAGGGGCAUUCAACUUUUUUGGGGAUCCUAUGUCUGCUAAUAGGUCAAUUGGCCCAAGUGAAUUCAGCAAGCAUCUUCGACAGAUUUCAAAAGAUGAUCCGGCCCUGCAGGAGCUGAGUCUCAUGUUGAAGCAGCACAAUGCCAAGUGCACGCUCGCCGCGACAUUGUUGAGGAACCAACUACAGUCUGAUAUGUUUUGCUUUGCGGAGAAAAUGGUCGAACUUGUGAAGGACCGCUGCAGGUGUUGUUCGAAUCGAGGAUUGUCCAAGUGUACUAGUCUUGAGGAUACUGAUGUGGAUGGUAAUUCUAGUAGGCGAGUUUUCGAAGUAGGCCGUCGGCUUGAUAUGGGUUGUGACGAAGUCCAUGCAAAGUCAAAGGUUUACGAAGAUUAUCAAAGAAUGAAAAGGAUUUGUGUUGAACGAAACAAAAACAAAGCUGAAUCAGGGCAGGGCCAGUCGCGGACGAAAGAUGAUGUUCCUGUCUACAACAAUCCUGUGAUAGAGAGAAAACCAGAUGAUAGGGGGAAGAUGUUUGAAGACCGAAUUGUAGUCUAUGCACAGACUAUUGCUGAAAUGGUUCAAUCUCUAUAUGAUACAGAUACGAAGGAGGCAACAUUUGUUUAUUUUCACUCAACUGAGUCUAAAUUACCCAGGCGUAGGAAUGUCAUGUCGGCAAGCUUUUGCAAUGAUCCAUGGUCACGGGGAUGUGUCCCGCAACCUGCUUCAAUCCCGUUGAUAGGCAAGUUCAAUGCAUGGAUCGGUGGUCAGAAAGACCUUGAUUUGAAUAGUGUUUGGUUGCUGCAUACAUCGCCAAGGCUCUUGAGGGUAAAUGUUGUAUGUAUUCAGCAGCAGAUACUUGGAUCAGAAGCUCUUGACCAUGAGGUUGCUACCCUUCUUUUGCGGCGUUUUUACCAAAUUGACACUGGGGAUGGAGGAGCAAGUACCUACAUGUUGUGGAGGGAAGUUCUUGAACCAGAUUUUUCGACGCAUGCUCUUGCCGGGGGGAAAGUCUUGCAUGUGAAAGCUGUACAGGGGGUAUUUACACAUGCAAAUCAUGAUAUAACGACGUGUAGGAUGUUUUUCGUACCUGCUGUGUUGGAUCAAGGGUGGGCGGCGUAUAUGUGGGACAUGAUGAGGAAGGAGAUUCAUGUCCUCGACCCUAUGUGUCAGCAAGCUAUGGGUUUAGAGCAGCGUCACUUAAUGCAUGAAGUGGCAGUCUCACAAAUUCAUGCUGCGUUAUUUGGCUGCUUGAAUGAAUACUUUGCAAAAUGGCAUCGCGCUUCUCAAAGUUGGAAGCGGAAGUUCCCGAAGAUUACUGAUGACUUUUUCACAAGGGAUGAGUCUGGAAUAUGCAUGAUCCAUGCUAUUAGGAAUUAUUGUGGGGAGAAGAUGAUGUGUGCACUUACGAAGAAUAAUAUUGCAAGUUUUAGGAAAUUGGUUGCUUAUGAGGUCUUCCAUUUACGCGAUGAUCGUGGCGAUUUCGUGGCUGAUGAUCUCCUGCGCGCUGCGUUUGAUGAACCUGAGGAGCGAUGUGAAUGAAAGGGGAGGAGCAGUUGCUGGAAGGCAGCAUCCCAAGAUAUGCGUGAUGAGCGCAAGUGCAUGGUUGACGUAGGUUUGCAAAGAAAGUGUUUUCAGCAUCAGGAUGCUACAUUGUUCAUAGAAGUGCACACGCUGCAAUUCAUCUUCUUUGCUGCUGACAAUGGCUAUGUCCUGAAGAAAUCAUGAGUGCAAGGAUGACAGUCAGAACCACAGAAAGUCUGGUAACUCACGACGGAAUAAAGUUUGUGGGUUUUCUCUGAGGGUGAUCCGUCGGCUGCACUCCACAAAACUUGCAAAUUGUCAGGUAUAGAUGGGUCAUCAGUAUAUGCAUUUUUCUUGAGAAUUUCAUAGAGAUGCAAUGCACGAGUUUUUCUGAAGGUAGAUCAGUGAUUUUGUCUCAAGGUACGACAAUGGGGUAGGUAGUUGCUGAACAAACCUUCAGAUGUUGGAGGCAGCCGCGUGCUAGAAGAUGAAAAUAUGCUUCUGUUGAUCUUAUGUGCAAAACGGUCUAUGCUGCUAUCAUAGCUACCUGAUGCAACUGUACAUUUAUCACCAAGUUGGUCAGCAAUACUUCACUUUUA